UGUUUUAGUCUAGUUAGAGGAACCUGUUUUAUAAACGAUACAACACGCAUUAUUUUACUUAUUUUUGUAAAUCAGCUUGUAUACCGUCAUUAUAAGAUAAUUUAGGAGAAAAUAUUAUUGGGAUCAUAUUAUUGAGUAUAUUAGAUCAAGGUGCAGCUUAUAGAUAAGUAAAUAUGGGUUACAAUAAAAUUUAUUUAUUAUGAAUUAAGUAUUUAAAUAUAUUUAUGAAGGAGGAUUUAAUUGUAAGAGGGGGAGUAGUAAGAUUUUCUGAUAUAAGCUCUAAAUUAU
Molecule: ribosomal RNA, 288 nt
Filed under: Procambarus acutus
Lineage: Eukaryota; Metazoa; Arthropoda; Malacostraca; Decapoda; Cambaridae
Description: partial 12S ribosomal RNA
Source: RNAcentral